ACUUCCUCUGCCUCCUUGCUUCUUCUCUGAACCCCGACCACUGUUGCUUCUUCUCUCUUCCCUGCUGCUGCACCAUCUCUCUCUUCUUCCCCCAAACUCUGCUGCUGCCUCUUCUUUUCCUCUGCUGAACUGCCGCUGCUUCUCUCUCUUGCUGCACCUUCUCCCCAGCGCCCUCUUGCUGCUCCUCACUUGCUGAAGUUCUACUCCGAACCUCUUCCUCUUGUGUGUGUGUGUGUGUAAUUUUGUGAACUAUUAGUGUUGAGACUUGAUCAACUAUAUUUUGUACUAGUGCAAUAUUUGUGCCCUGUUCGUUAGUUAUUGGUUGGUAAAACUUCAGAUCACUUCUUGAGAAUUAUGUGUUGAACUUGAAGGAUGGUUGAUAGCUCUAGUACAUGUGAUUUUUAUAUUGUCUCAAUUUCUUGUGGUAAAUGUGCUUGUGAUGUGAAACAUCUCUAUUCUGUAGUAUAAUCUUCUUUCUUCUCUGUUAACUAGUAAUCACUAGCUCUUGUGUACUGCUUGUUGCAGAUUCUUUUUCCUUUCUUUGUCCAUGUGUUAGCUCAUGCAUCUGUGCUAUAUAAAUACAUGUGUGUUUUGUGACGUAAACCAUGUCAGCUAGUUCACUGAAACAAAUUCAUGUUACUACUUGUGAUUUUAUUUUCUGUUGAGAUUGAUCUUUGUGAAGUCAGAUGUGUGAUUGUGUUUUAUCUCUAGUUAACAUAUUAGCUAGGUACCAGUGAUAUAAAUGCCUCUUCCUUCUCUUAUAUAUGUCUGCUAGAUAUAUUUGUGAUCUUCUCAUGUUACUUUCUUUCUGUCGAUGAUGAUGUCCCGUGUCAGUAUUUAGUUUCUAAAAUAAUAUGAAAAUACCAAAAAGAUAAAGUGAAGAUAAUCUUCAUCUCCCUUUGGUUCUUUGUUUAUUAUCCUUGUUAAUGUUAGGUUUAUUUUCUGUUCCCAUCACCCGAAGUGUAUUACCUAGCUUUAGCCGAAUAUUGUCGUUGAUCGCCUAGUCCCUGAGGAGAACACGACACUCGCAGUUUGGGGCGUAAAAACCCCACUAUACUUUCAAUCGAUCAUUUUGGUGCCGUUGCCGGGGACUAGCGUCGAGCGAUUGUGUUAUGCUAUAGACCAGGUUUUUCUUGUUUUCCUUUUGUGACAUUUAUAUGUGAUAUGUAUCUAACCCCUAACCACUGCUCUAGUUAUUUUCUGUUCCUUUUCUUGUUUGUUUUGUAGGUUGGAUUGUCUUCUUGGAAAUGGCGUUCAACUCAGACCAUCAUGCUUAUGUGAGCAAUAGCACGGAAAGUGUUCAAGACUUGAUAAGUAAGAUUUCCCAUCAGUUAGAUGAUUUAGCUCGGUAGCGAGGUAUAGUUUUUGAGGAUAUGCCUAGCUCUUAUGAUGCUUAUUCUAGAGGCCAUCCUUAUGUUGCUCCUACAUGCCAUAUUUGUGGAUUUCAGGGCCAUUCACCCGCUGAAUGUCAGCGUGGUUACUCUCAUCCUCCGGAUUGUUUUGGUAUGAACUUUGCUCAACAGCAUGGCUCAUGCCAAAACAAUUACUCAUAUGGGUGGCCUGGAAACCAUAAUAUGUCAUAUAGGAACAGCAACCCUGAGAUCUCAUCGUUUGCCUCUAGUUAUCCAAUGCAGGGAUUUAGGUAUGAAGAGGAGAGCCACAACUAUGCUCCACAACAGUCUUAUUCAGCUCCUAUUCAUAUACCUCAGCACCAGGAGAUGUUGCCAAUGGAGUUAAAUGGUCCUCCAUUUGGUUAACCAACACCUUCAACACAAGUACCUACUCAAGAUGAGUUCGAUGACAUAGACAAGCUCGCACUUUUGAGUCUCGAGUUCACUUGGAGUGCCGAGGAUGAUCCUAUUAGGAAGGUUAUACUAGAUGAAAUGAAGAAGAUCAAGAGUGGGAAUGAGCUAGUGGAAGAAGUAAAGAAGAUUGAGAAGAACAUCAACGCUGGCAGUACUAUUUCUUCAUAGCUUGAGCUGAGUAAUUCUGGGAUUCCCCUUGAUACAUGUGAGGUUCCAAUACCGUCACAUCCAGCUGAGCAAGAUAGCAAGUGCCUUGAGCAUGAGAUACCUCAGAUUGAAGAAGAUGAACUAGAAUACAAGGAACAAGAUGAUCAAGAGCUGCAAUUCCCAAGUGAUCAAGUUGAAGACUCGUCAUCUACUACUCCCGAAGAAGUACAAGAAGCUGCUGUAGAUGAAGAUGAAGAACCUGAGAUUCAUUGGCCUAUUGUCAUACAUGAGCAUGAUGUGUCAGGUUUACCCAAUCCUCUUGAUGACAUGCUGCCUUGUGAUUUCUUUGCUUCUGCCUUGCAUUGCAUGAUGCCAUCUGUUAAAGUAGACUUGAAAAACUAUUUGCUUGGACAUGAUCAUACACACCCUGUUAGUGGCAUUGCUCAUAUCUCUGUUCAUGAUACUUAUGUUCCUAAUGCUAUACCCAUGCUUAAUGAAACGUGUGAUUCUAAUACUAGCAUUGAGCUUAUUGAUUGGUACCAUCCUAAACAUGUGCUUUAUAGCUAUGCUUAUGUAAUUGGAUAUUCGAUUGAUGACUUGGAGGGUAUUAUCCCUACCACUUGCAUUGUCUCUUUCGUUGAGUGCUCUUUCAGGUUCUUGCUUGUGCACGAAUCACUACAUGCUGACCAAGUUUGAGAUGACAUUCCCUGGGACCCCGGUGGAACCAUGGCAUGGGGAUGAGGAGAAGCAAGGAGCACACAUGAAGAGAGAAGCUGGAGCAGGCAUGAGGAUAGGGAAGCAAAAGGAGAGGAGUCACAAUGCACGAGGAAGCAAAGGAGAAGAGUUGCAGUUUAUAGUGUGUCGAGCGAGUGCUACUUCCUAUAAAAACUCGGUGAGCUGUUUCAUGACCCAUUCCGAGUAUAUCAUCCAUUAUACAUGCUGUAAUCAACUGCUAUUUGGGUCGCUUGAGCAAUUUCUUAAAUAUCCUCCCACUGAAUUUUACCUUCGACAUAGGGUGAUUGAUGUGAAUAUGUGAACUGAGUGUUGAAUGCCUUGUAAACUUGUGAUCUACAGAAUGCUUGCUUUGCUGAAAUUAGUGAAAGCUAUUAGUUUUGAGUGCUCAAAUCCCUAGUACACUAGAAAACUUAAUCAUUUUCUGCUUUUACCUCAAUACACUUAGAUCAUUAAGUGUCAGAUGCUGAGUUUGUGCCUAAUGUGUUCCCAUUGAGAGCAAUCACCUAACCACUAUGGAUUAGCAUGCUUUGUUCCCUGGAUCGGUAGCAUGUGAACCAGACAUGGAGAAGUGAUGAUUCCUAUUUUUGUGUUUAUGUGUUGUUCAUUUAAGAUAAGUAAUAAUGAAUAAAUAAGUCUGACUACCUACAGUAGCAUGUCAUGUUCCCGGGAUCGGUGGCAUGUGAAAUUGGGUUAGCUUGGGCAGUAAUUAAUAAUAAAAAAUGUAAGUGUCGAACCAAGUGUAUACCAUGUUCUCGGGAUCGGUGGUAUGUUCCUUUGGGGAGAAAACAAAAAAACUAAUAAUUGGUCGAUCCAGGUGUAUACCAUGUUCUCGGGAUCGGUGGUAUGUUCCUUUGGUGAGAUCGAUAAAAUAUUAUCAUUGCUUUACUUCUGUAAAUAAGUGAACUGAUCACAAGUUUAUGUUCUUUUUUGUGCUCUAGAUCAUGCUCUCUUUAGGAACCUUUGGCACAAUCAUCAUUUGAACUUGUUGAUCCACUUUUAUCAUUGUAAAAGUUUAAAAUGAUUGAGUCUACUAGUAUCCUAUUGCUUUGUAGCACUCUUGACCAUUGAUUUGCACUAGCUAAGUCCAAAGCAUGCAUUGUUUAGAGAUCUACUUCACUUGGCAUUCUCUAGUCAGCUCACUAUUCACUAUCUUGCUCUUGUCAUAUGCCUUUACUUGAGGACAAGUAAAGAUUUAAGUGUGGGGGAACUUGAUAAGUGCAUUUCAUAUAUAUAAUUUGGCACUCAAAUUUAGCAUCUAUCGUGAUAUAUCCAUCCAUUCUUGCUAUGACUUGUGAUAUAUUUGAAUGAAAAUCAUAUAAAAGAUCAUUUACUCGUUACUUGUUUUUUUUUGCAGAAAAGUGCGACGAGGCACUAUAAUCGUAAAGAGUCCAUCCAUAUGGCUAUUGAGAAGAGAGAAGGGCAGGAAAGAAGUGAAGAAAGGGACAUGAGCAUCAAAGAAAGAAGAAAUCGGGGGCCAAAACUUAAGAUGGAGGGGAUCUACUUGGGAAGAAAGAAGGAAAUGAGAAGGGCCAAAUCAGAAAAGUGGAAGACUAGAGGCGGGGUCAAAAUCCCUAGCAACAGCCCUGAUCCCCUUUGGGCCUGGCCACAUCUCUCUCUCCCUCACCCCUCCUUCUCCACCUUCGGCCGCUGCCACAGCCAGGCUGGCGUGGGGCGCACCACCAGCUCCACCAGCGCCAUCCCUCCACUUCGCCGUCGCACAUCACCAGCACCACCAUCCAUCUCCACCUCGCGGCUUCACCACCGCGCCUCGCGCGUCCUCUCCCUCCAGCCGGCACGCCUCUCCCUCCUGCUUCCCCAACUUCUUCCCCUUGCUGUUCCUCUUCCUCUUGCCUUGCGACCCCUUGGUGCUGAUCUUCUCCACUUACUACUGCUCUACUUCCUCUGCCUCCUUGCUUCUUCUCUGAACCCCGACCGCUGCUGCUUCUUCUCUCUUCCUUGCUGCUGCACCAUCUCUCUCUUCUUCCCCCAAACUCUGCUGCUGCCUCUUCUUUUCCUCUACUGAACUGCCGCUGCUUCUCUCUCUUGCUGCACCUUCUCCCCAGCGCCCUCUUGCUGCUCCUCACUUGCUGAAGUUCUACUCCGAACCUCUUCCUCUUGUGUGUGUGUAAUUUUGUGAACUGUUAGUGUUGAGACUUGAUCAACUAUAUUUUGUACUAGUGCAAUAUUUGUGCCCUGUUCGUCAGUUAUUAGUUGGUAAAACUUCAGAUCACUUGAGAAUUAUGUGUUGAACUUGAAGGAUGGUUGAUAGCUCCAAUACAUGUGAUUUUUAUAUUGUCUCAAUUUCUUGUGGUAAAUGUGCUUGUGAUGUGAAACAUCUCUAUUCUGUAGUAUAAUCUUGUUUCUUCUCUGUUAACUAGUAAUCACUAGCUCUUGUGUACUGCUUGUUGCAGAUUCUUUUUCCUUUCUUUGUCCAUGUGUUAGCUCAUGCAUCUGUGCUAUAUAAAUACAUGUGUGUUUUGUGACGUAAACCAUGUCAGCUAGUUCACUGAAACAAAUUCAUGUUACUACUUGUGAUUUUAUUUUCUGUUGAGAUUGAUCUUUGUGAAGUCAGAUGUGUGAUUGUGUUUUAUCUCUAGUUAAU
RNAcentral lists this long non-coding RNA (5289 nucleotides) under Triticum aestivum (bread wheat). Its description in RNAcentral is "long non-coding RNA (TAES_LNC012166)". Lineage: Eukaryota; Viridiplantae; Streptophyta; Magnoliopsida; Poales; Poaceae. The record is from RNAcentral.